RNAcentral lists this long non-coding RNA (11820 nucleotides) under Daucus carota (carrot). RNAcentral describes it as "long non-coding RNA (DCAR_LNC002941)". The record is from RNAcentral. Lineage: Eukaryota; Viridiplantae; Streptophyta; Magnoliopsida; Apiales; Apiaceae.
AGCCUUCUCCCAGUAACUCAACAUAUCAGACAGCAAUCCCACAUAAGACCCCUUUCCCAGAAAUGGCCAUCACCAGAGCAAAUCUUCCACCUCUCCUACGCGCCGCCACCGCACUCCCCCCUCCCCACAUCCCCCACCACAACUCUCCGACGUCCUUUCUCCGCUCUCACCCUCCCAACAUCCUUAUUCCAAACCCCCACUUGUUCUCCACCUUCCUUUACCCCCGAAGCAUAUCCAACCCUUUAAACCUCAUCAUUUCAAAUCACCACUUGCUCUACCGGAGCCUGCAUACACACGCCACCGCUCUUCACAAGCGUCAAACAACUUACAACAUCUUGCGAUACGCUCUAACUUUCGGUUGCAUUGCAACAGCAGGAGGGACAAUCCUGUUCUACAAAAAUCGAGAAAAACCAAGAAUUUCCACAACCUUAAAUCGUAAAAUGGAAGUCAGAUUUCUUGGCAUAAUACCACAUAAGUACCGUAAGGGACACUGCGUGGUCAUUGAGGGUCUGGCUCGGCCUUAUGCUAAAAAUGUCAGAGCCAAUGGUCCUUGGGAAUUCUAUCUCUCAGCUACAGAGGUGUUAGCUCAGCAUGAUCAUGUUGUCACCGCCUUUCAAAGGAAUGAGACAAUUCUUACAGUGAAGAAAAUAUACUCUGAGGACAGCGAUAGAAUUCUUGCAUCCAAUCGGUACUCGUCUUAAAUUUUAUCGUAUUUUCAAUUUAUUAACGUUUUUCUCCAUUUUCUAUUGCAAGAAAAGAUAGUCAUUUUGUUUGUGCCUUUAAUAUGGUUUGAUUUAGGCGCACAGCUUCUAGCGGUGAUUUCUUUACCCCUGCCGAUGAUUUGUUGAAGUCUGAUCCUAAAAUGAUUGUGUUCAAGUUAGACUCAGAGUAUGAUUCCAAAGCUACUCAAUUUGUUCUGUUUACCUUAGAUAAGUUCCAAGACUUGUCCAAGUUGUUGGGAGAUGGACACUCGGUUUUUAUUAAGGGUUUUACCAAUCUACCUUUGAACUCGGUCAAGUCUGGCGAUAUUGCCGAGAUUAACAAAGUUAAUUCAGAUGAUAAUUGGCCUAAAAUCGUGACAGGCAAAACUGAAAAAAUGGAAUAUCUCUUCUUAGCGGAGGCGAUAGCGAAGGACGAUGAGAGGUAUAUGUCACGGGAAGCUACUACUGCAAUUCGGCGGAAUACUGCGGAGUAACAAAAAGGCCGUGGCAAAGAAGAAUGGUUGUCAAAUUGUAUUUCUUAACGGUAACGUUGGGGCAUCUCCAAUUUAAAGACAACUUUAUCAAUUAUAAGCUCAAAAUUCAUAAAAAAUGUUUCCAACUAUUACUAACUCUAUCUUUGUAGAUGAAGUAAUCAACUCUUCAAUUUUUCAAAUUUGAAGAUGCAAUAUAGAAAUGAAGUAAUUAUAAUAAAGAAAGCAUAUGCAAUUUUGAUUUUACACAUUUUUCGAGAUAUGGAGUUCUUUUGCAUGUGUAAUUGUAAUAGUGAUAUAAAGUGAAGAAUGUGAAAAUAAAAAGAUAAAAUUAUUUUAAAAUAGAGUUUUGAUUGGAGAAGGCCUUACACUCUCUGAAUCUUUGCAGUAAUUUUGCGCCUAUACUCUAAUAUUUGGUCUUUGCACAAAGACUUCUAAGCUUACUCGAAAAGAUUUCUGAAACAGUUCUAGGUAUAAUGAAGGUAUUUUUCAGAAUUAUUUAAUGGUUGAUUUUGUUGCAAAUUUCUGAGUUCAUGAUUCUAAAACUCGUCGAUUUGACAAAUUAAUCCUAAGGUACUCUGCUGAUUCAAUUUUUCAAAUCCGAUUAAUCACAACAUAUUUCCUAAAAUGAAUAUAAUAAAUUUAAUAAAAUCAAAGUUUUAAUACAAUGAAUCGAUGUUCCAAUUAAUUAUUUUGGCUAAUCACUAAUUAGAGUAUGUGAUUAAUUUUUGAACAAUGUCGCCGAUGACUUCCUAUUUUCAACUUUUACUGGGCUGAGGUAAUAAUCCAAAAUAUAGACAUAUACAUAUAAUGUUAGGGUCGCGCUUAUGAGAAAAUCAAUAUUUAAAAUAAAUACAUAGAACUACUAAGGUUCUACUGUAGAACCCUAUACUUUACAUAGAUUUUCAGGAUCUAAAUAUAAAUACUUUUUUUUAUUUUUGCAUCGUUGUGUGUUGAAAAGUAAUUUCAAAAUAUAAUGGAUACAUAAGACAUUUUUUUAUAUACAGUUCUGCUGCAGAAUCUAACUAUGGUAUUCAAUUGGGAUUUUAAAUUAUGCUUUAAAAUCCGAUGGUAUUCAAUUGGGAUUGUUUAAAAUCCAUUAAAAUCUGAUGGUAUUCAAAUGCUGAUGGAUUUUUUUUCAUUUCAUAAAAUGAUGGAUUUUGUGGCAUUCUUCAGUGUAUUUUAAAUUUUUUGAAAUCUCAUCAAAUUCAAUGGGAUUUUGAAGCAUUGUAUCUAAAUCCUAUCAACUCUGCGACAUUUCAUCAAGAAUCCGCACAAAAUCAAAAUCUCAUACAAUCCAUUAAAAUUCAUAGACUAAAAACAAUGCAUUAAAAUCCUAAUCGAAUACACCACUGUAAUUAUACUUGAAAAGAUUUCUGAACAGUUCUGGGUUUGGAUAAUAUUUUUUGUGUUUGCAACUUAUUAGAUAUAAAAUCAUUAAUAUAAUAAUAAAUUAUUUUCAAUUAUUUUUUAAAUUGGUACUCUACAUAUUUUUAAAAUUAAUUUUCAAAAAUAAAAAUAUUAUUUUUGAAAUUUCUUAACUUUACAACACAUUGUUGCAGUACAUGAUCCCUCCGUUUUAAAAUAUAGGUCGCUUGACUUUUUGGCAUACACUUCCAAGUCAUUUGACCGCUUAGUUAAAAUCAUUAAUUUCAAAAUUUUCGUUUUCUAAAUUAUAAUAUUAAUCAUAUAUUUUUAUUCAGAAAAAGAAAUUUUGAAAAUAACAAUUUUAACUAUACGCUUAGUUACAAAAUUAUAUUUUAUAUACACCUUAAAAUGUGUGUCAAACAGUGUAAAAAAAUUAUAAAGAAAUAAGAGGGAUAUAGGGAGUAAUAUUAUGACAUUCCAUAUUUUUCGGUAAAAAGUUGGCUUCUACUUUCCUAACUUGUUUGUGUAAAAAGACCGAAAGCACUUAUAAAAAGUUGAGAACGGUAGUUUAUUCAGGACUUCUAAUUUUUUCAUAAACAGUUUAUUCACUUAUAAAUCUUAAUUUAAUUUUCAAUUCUAAUCUAUUUUUUUAAUUUUUUAAGGAAAAAGUACUUUUUUAGGAUUGCCCAAACGAACUCAUAUUCAAUUUUUGAAUUCAUCAGUUUACAUGGGAUCAUCUUCUGAAAGAACUUAUUUAAUUUAUGUUUAUAUUUCAAAAUAUACAUUAAGAGCAUCUCCAAAGGUUGAAAACUGUUAGCUAAAAAUCUUAUAUGCCAUCCUAUGUAUGUAUCAUCUAGGUGGCCUUUUUAGAUAAUAUGUAUAAAAAAUUGCAUUCCAACCAUCACCCCUUAGCAAAAAAAUUAUAGAUAACAAAGUGUCAUUCAAUGAAUUUGUUGAACCAAAAAAUCUAUUAGGUAUAAUUUUAGCUUAUAGUAAUUAUGAAUAACACCAUUGGAGUGUAAACCUCAAUUGUUAGAAAAAAAUUUGUAUAGUCCAUUUAGAUAAGUAUUAUAGCUAAUGAGUUUAGAUACCUUUGGAGAUGCUCCAAUGUGCUUUAUUUUUAUCUCUAUAAUAAUAACACUACAAAUCACCUAAUUUAGAGUAAUAUAUCAUCAUAAAUAUAUCUACUUCUCCGAUCCACAAUUCCCACUUGACAAAGUUUCCUUCCGGCUCUCUUUUUUGCUAUUUUAUAUGACGAAAAUGAAGUGUCCGAAUAAUAUAAAAAAUUUAUGCGCGAUCAGGAUGGGGUUGUUGUGCUUCCAACGCUUAAAAAACACUACGCCUGAGAAUAUAUUUUCUCGUCUAACAUUUAAAAAAAGAUUAACAGUACACAUUUAGCAAUUUUUAAACACCAGAGGAGAAUAUUGUUUCUUUUAGUCAUAUACGUCCCUCGCCAAAUCCCACAAUAAAGAAGUUGUAUUUUAUUUAAACCCCACUAAUUAAUUGAUGAGAACCCGCCUCUAAAUAUAUAGAUAGACUCGUAUAUUCAUUUUCCUCGGUAACAUUUUGUGUCACAGUCUGAGGAAAUGACUACAGACCAAUUAAAGCAAAUAUUCCCUUCACUUUCUAAUACUUUCUAAUACAAAAAUCCUUUCGAGUAUAUAUAACCCCUGUGGCAUAUACUUUUGUAUCAAAUUUUCAUACAGCCUUCUCCCAGUAACUCAACAUAUCAGACAGCAAUCCCACAUAAGACCCCUUUCCCAGAAAUGGCCAUCACCAGAGCAAAUCUUCCACCUCUCCUACGCGCCGCCACCGCACUCCACCCUCCCCACAUCCCCCACCACAACUCUCCGACGUCCUUUCUCCGCUCUCACCCUCCCAACAUCCUUAUUCCAAACCCCCACUUGUUCUCCACCUUCCUUUACCCCCGAAGCAUAUCCAACCCUUUAAACCUCAUCAUUUCAAAUCACCACUUGCUCUACCGGAGCCUGCAUACACACGCCACCGCUCUUCACAAGCGUCAAACAACUUACAACAUCUUGCGAUACGCUCUAACUUUCGGUUGCAUUGCAACAGCAGGAGGGACAAUCCUGUUCUACAAAAAUCGAGAAAAACCAAGAAUUUCCACAACCUUAAAUCGUAAAAUGGAAGUCAGAUUUCUUGGCAUAAUACCACAUAAGUACCGUAAGGGACACUGCGUGGUCAUUGAGGGUCUGGCUCGGCCUUAUGCUAAAAAUGUCAGAGCCAAUGGUCCUUGGGAAUUCUAUCUCUCAGCUACAGAGGUGUUAGCUCAGCAUGAUCAUGUUGUCACCGCCUUUCAAAGGAAUGAGACAAUUCUUACAGUGAAGAAAAUAUACUCUGAGGACAGCGAUAGAAUUCUUGCAUCCAAUCGGUACUCGUCUUAAAUUUUAUCGUAUUUUCAAUUUAUUAACGUUUUUCUCCAUUUUCUAUUGCAAGAAAAGAUAGUCAUUUUGUUUGUGCCUUUAAUAUGGUUUGAUUUAGGCGCACAGCUUCUAGCGGUGAUUUCUUUACCCCUGCCGAUGAUUUGUUGAAGUCUGAUCCUAAAAUGAUUGUGUUCAAGUUAGACUCAGAGUAUGAUUCCAAAGCUACUCAAUUUGUUCUGUUUACCUUAGAUAAGUUCCAAGACUUGUCCAAGUUGUUGGGAGAUGGACACUCGGUUUUUAUUAAGGGUUUUACCAAUCUACCUUUGAACUCGGUCAAGUCUGGCGAUAUUGCCGAGAUUAACAAAGUUAAUUCAGAUGAUAAUUGGCCUAAAAUCGUGACAGGCAAAACUGAAAAAAUGGAAUAUCUCUUCUUAGCGGAGGCGAUAGCGAAGGACGAUGAGAGGUAUAUGUCACGGGAAGCUACUACUGCAAUUCGGCGGAAUACUGCGGAGUAACAAAAAGGCCGUGGCAAAGAAGAAUGGUUGUCAAAUUGUAUUUCUUAACGGUAACGUUGGGGCAUCUCCAAUUUAAAGACAACUUUAUCAAUUAUAAGCUCAAAAUUCAUAAAAAAUGUUUCCAACUAUUACUAACUCUAUCUUUGUAGAUGAAGUAAUCAACUCUUCAAUUUUUCAAAUUUGAAGAUGCAAUAUAGAAAUGAAGUAAUUAUAAUAAAGAAAGCAUAUGCAAUUUUGAUUUUACACAUUUUUCGAGAUAUGGAGUUCUUUUGCAUGUGUAAUUGUAAUAGUGAUAUAAAGUGAAGAAUGUGAAAAUAAAAAGAUAAAAUUAUUUUAAAAUAGAGUUUUGAUUGGAGAAGGCCUUACACUCUCUGAAUCUUUGCAGUAAUUUUGCGCCUAUACUCUAAUAUUUGGUCUUUGCACAAAGACUUCUAAGCUUACUCGAAAAGAUUUCUGAAACAGUUCUAGGUAUAAUGAAGGUAUUUUUCAGAAUUAUUUAAUGGUUGAUUUUGUUGCAAAUUUCUGAGUUCAUGAUUCUAAAACUCGUCGAUUUGACAAAUUAAUCCUAAGGUACUCUGCUGAUUCAAUUUUUCAAAUCCGAUUAAUCACAACAUAUUUCCUAAAAUGAAUAUAAUAAAUUUAAUAAAAUCAAAGUUUUAAUACAAUGAAUCGAUGUUCCAAUUAAUUAUUUUGGCUAAUCACUAAUUAGAGUAUGUGAUUAAUUUUUGAACAAUGUCGCCGAUGACUUCCUAUUUUCAACUUUUACUGGGCUGAGGUAAUAAUCCAAAAUAUAGACAUAUACAUAUAAUGUUAGGGUCGCGCUUAUGAGAAAAUCAAUAUUUAAAAUAAAUACAUAGAACUACUAAGGUUCUACUGUAGAACCCUAUACUUUACAUAGAUUUUCAGGAUCUAAAUAUAAAUACUUUUUUUUAUUUUUGCAUCGUUGUGUGUUGAAAAGUAAUUUCAAAAUAUAAUGGAUACAUAAGACAUUUUUUUAUAUACAGUUCUGCUGCAGAAUCUAACUAAUAUUAAAAAUAUUGCGGGAAAAUAUUUUGAGAUAUUAACAAUUGUUUGUAGUUGAUUCUUGUGUUAUAGGAACUAGUGCAGCGGCGACACACUUUUAGCAUCAGUUUUUUAGAAACGGUUGAUUAGUGUGUGCCCAUGGGCACAUGCUAAGUACGAAAAUUUUUGUAUUUGUGAUAUUUUGAUUAGUGUGUGUUUGGUGUAUUUGCAGGGGGAGUCCAUCAUUAUCAUGAGAUAGGAGCCAAUCAAAAUGAUCCAAAAACAAAAUUUUCCGCGCUCAGCAUGUGUCUAUGGGCACACCAUAGAAAAAUGGUUUUAGAAAAAUGACACUUUUAUAGCUUAUAUGUGUUGGAUGUUCAAACGGUUAAUGACAUAUGUGCUUAUUUUUUCCGGAGAAUAUUUAUAUGCGUCGGGAUUGUAAAUGCUGACACUUAAAAAUAUUAAUAACAUCAGUUUUUAACAAUCGGAGCUUCAUUUUGUACUCAAGGAGGGGGUUAAUACUCUAUUUCAUCAUUUUAUUGGAUCAUAACUUUCAGUUGGCCUGCCGAGUCAAAAAAGUUUUUCAUUUAGAUAACAAAGCAUCUAAAAACUUUCAAUCACGAGAUUAAGUAUAAAAAAACAUUUCAGUGUCGUUAAAUAUGUCUUUGACUUUAACGGAAAACGUCAAAUUUAACGGUAUUGCAUGUUUUUGGCUUGUACUAUGUCUUGAGAUUUGUGAUCAGGCCUUCGACGGAUCAAGCAGUUGUUACAAUGGACACGAUCAAGCACACCCAGCUCAAAAUCUUGACCCACACCCAGGUGAAGGAGAACUUUGGUAUCUUUGCUCACGCAGUGUCCAUUUCUAUUGAGAAAUAACCCUCCUGAUCUCCCUCCUGAUCUUGUGUAGGCCUUCUAUUUGCACGGGCCAUGAUAGAGGAAUUCGGACCAGCUACAAAAUAAUAACUGAGCUUGAAUAGAAAGUUUCACUUAGCAAGUUACCAUCAAAGUUUUGUAGGCAGCUUUCAUAUACAAAUAUAUAAACCCAUCAGAUACUUGAUAAAUACAUGAAAAAUGUACAACGUAUAGUAAGCCAAAUUUACUAGGGGCUUAGUCUCAAAGUAGACAGAAAGGGGGGGGGUAAAAAAAAAAGCAGAGCAGAUGUUCGAAAUCCGAUCCAAAUCUUUUGGCCAACAAGAUUGGAUGAAACCUCUUACUAAACAAUAAAAUUUUACAAAAGGGGUAACAAAAGAAAAAGCUAACCAGCACCAGGAGGGGUUUCACCAGGUGACAAGAAAUAUAAUAUAAGUAUUCAAUAUGAAAUUACUGUAAUCCUUGAUGAUUUGAACUUUGAAGCACUGCAUGAUAUAUGCACAUUUUAACUUUGAAUAAAUUCUUAUAAACAGAUCAUCUCCAAGCGACUACUCUCCCUUGCCUCGGUCAUGCACCUUAAUGAGCUUCAAAGCCAACUUAUCCAACCAAAUUGCUUGUAAAGUUGUCUUUUACUUGGUAGGCCAAUUAAAAGUUUUUAAUGGUACAAUUAGUUGACUAAAAACUUUUUUGACUCGGUAGCCCUACUGAAAGCUUUGGUCUAGUAGAGUGAUGAAAUAGAGCAUUAACCCCUCAAGGAGGUGACAAGCUUUAAUGAAUAUUGUUGUCUAUAAAUUAUACGAUGGUGAAAUCGACGUUAUUAGCUAUAUUUUAUGUGCCAGCGACGAAAGCGAGUACUCUCUUUCAAAAUAAUAGUAUUUUCAAUUUACACGUAAUUUGAGAUGUAAAAAGAACGUAUUUUUAUAAAAAAAAAAUUCAGAUUUUUUCUGAAUCAAAAUACAUUUUAGAUAUAAUUUUAUUACAAAAAUAAAAUUUCAGUAAUAAUAAUAAUAAGUUUGAAUAUACAUAUUUUUUGCACAUUCGCAAAAUGUUAAUGUGAUUAUUAUUUUGGACGUGUUUUGUUUGUGCAAGGCUGCCCAGCUUAUUUAUUUAGCGGACGUUUGGGUGAGUUUAAAAUAAGUGCUUCUUGCUUAAAAAUAAAUAGUGGAGUAGAAGUUAGAAGCAAGUUAAGACUUAUAAGUGAUUAAAGUGUUUGGGAAAUAAGCAGAAGCCCUAAAACAAAAGCUAGCAUUCCUAGUUUUUUAUAAGUACUUUUUGACUUUUUACACAAACAGUACGAAAUAAGUGAUUCUGACUUAUAAACCAGAAGCCGGAAACAAACACCCCGUAAUCUCAUGUUUCUCAUGUUUGUAAUUGAAGGACGUAAAUGGUUUAUAAUCGGGGCUUGGAUCAUCAACUUCCAACAUUAUUAUUACGACUACGUAAUAGACUGCAUAGUCUUUUUUUUUUCUUUUUUUUUUUGUCAGGAGACUGCAUAGUCUUCUGAAUAUAUCUACUUAAUUCCAUGAUAAUUCGUACUAUAACUUUUUUUUACAAAUAAAUUAUCAGCCUGGAGUCUACACUAGCUAGCUGGAUAUGCCAUGCUUGAUUUGAUGCAUCCACGGUGAUCAGUGGGUUGGCAAAAAGAAUAGGCAAGGAAGAAAGACUUGGUUGGAAAGAAAAAAUUGGACUUGCCAUAUGCAAAUAUAUAUGAUUGACCUGACGGUCCUGCCUGAAUAAAAAGGUUCGGGUUUUAUGGAGUAUCUUAGGUUUGAAAAGAUAGGCCUGUACAAUUCAUCUACAGUUUCGUAACUCUCUUAGCUGGCGUUGAGUUGGAAUAAAUUAAAUGAGCAAAGGAUGUUAUAGAAUUUCUAAAUAAAUUGUACUCCUAUUUUAAUUUAGAUGUCCAGUUUGGAAAAAAAAAAUUACUCCCUACAUCCCAAAUUAAAUGAGUUCGUUGACUUCGGGCACACACUUUAAAGUCCAUUGACCGCAUAACUACAUUAUUUAUUUUUAGAAUUUUAUUUUUGUAAAUAAAAAUUCAAAUAUGAAAUUUUGUUUAUAAAAGAAAAAUUUUAAAAAUAAAUUUUGGAGCUAGUCGGUCAAUCCACCUUAAGUUACGUGCCCAAAAUCAACUAGCUCAUCUAAUUUAGGAUGAAGGUAGUAUGUUUCAAAUUACUUAUUCACUUCAAAUUUCAAUGCAAAACUAUAUUUCCAAAGUCAAUUCUACUCCACAUAUCUCUUAUUUAUAUUUUUUAGAUCAAUCUCACACCAUAUAAAUCAUUUAAUGCAGUUAAUAUGUGAACAACCACUUUUCUUAAAUUGUGUGAUUUUUCGAAAGUAGACAUUUAUUUUGAAAUGGAGGGAGUAUUAAAAAAUAUGUGAUUAUAUGACACACAUAUAUAUAUACACACACACCCACAUAUAUGUGUGUGAGAGAGAUUUAAAGUGAUAAAGAUAAACUAGUCUAAAUUUUUUUAUAAUGAAAAUUAUAGUAAAACAAGAUUAAAAAGUAGAAUUAACAUUCAUUUCAAAAUAUCCGAGUUAAAUUUCUAGUUCAAAUAGUUAAAAUUAGUGAUUGAAAAAAAUAAAAAUUACAUAUAUAUUUUUUAUGAUCACUCUCAGUUUAAAGUAUAAAUUGCAUUAUAUUCUCCCUUCAUUUCAUUUGAUCAUUUAUUCAUUUCAUUCAAUUCAAGUGAAAUUAGUUUUAAGUUAUGUUAUUGAUUAUGUCUAUGAUAACUUACCGUAAAAGUUGAAUAUUUUUCCCAAUAUAUGGAAAGACGUGUUUUUUUCAAAAACAACUAUUUUUAGAUUAAUCAAACAAAAUUUAACUUUUUUUAGAAAAAAAGAAAGUGUUGGUGCAAUAAAAUAAAACAAGGCCUUAAUUAUGUUCAAAUCAAUGGUUUCUAUUUUAUUUGAGUUCAGUUCAAUUCGGGUUUUAGCAUGUUUGAAAUCAGCCCGAAAUUUAAAAAGGAAAAUAUUGAAUUUCUCAAACUACACGAAAUUGAGUACACAAUUUUAUGUUUGUGAAAUGGACACUAACUUUAUAAAUAAUAAUAAAUUACACGCAUUCAUAUUAAUUUUUUUUUGUUUAAAUAUUUAGAGUAUCACUCAAUAAUAGAUUGUAUUUUAUGCAUUUAACAUUAUUCAUUUUAAAAUUAAUUUUUUAUGUGAUAAAUCUUGCAUACAAUAAGUUUGAUUUCAUGUAAAACUUCAAGUUCAUAUAAAAUAUUUAUUGUAUAAUAUAACUUAUACAUAUAAUAUUUAAUUAGAGUAUUGUGAACAAAGUAAUUUGAUAUUGGUGCUCAUUCGAUAAAAUAAUCAAAAAACUCGUUUUCAAAUUCGACAUAAUCAAAACUCGUGUUCCAAUUCGACAUAAUUGUCGAACUUACCAAUUUACCUGUGAUCAUGUUCUGAAAAGAUUUAUUUAAUUUGUAUUUUAAUUUCAAAGUAUACAUGACUAUGCUUCAUUUUUAUCAUCAUGAUUAUAAUAUUAUAAUUAAUUAGCUUAGUUUAUAAUAUUAUCACAAAUUAAUAAAGUAAGGACUUAUUCUUCUUGAAAAUAGGUCAUAUUUUUUUGAAUAUAAAUGUUGAAGAGUUGUUUCAUAUUCAUUUUUCAGGAAUUUUUUUUUUUAUGUAUUUUAUGAAAAAUAAACUCUCAAUAUUAAAAAUUAAAAUUAAUCAAACGACAUCUUUAUUUAUACCCAAUCAUGUAUUCAUUUUCCUCGUAGUAAACAUUUUGAAUCAGAUUUUGAGGUAAAUGGCUCGAGGCUAAUAAAAGCAAGUAUGCCCUUCACUUUCUAAUAUAGAAACACUUUUGAGUAUAAAUAACUAAUGUGACAUAGACUACACUUCAGUAUCAAAUUUUCUUACAGCCUUCUCCUGCUAACUCAACAUAUCAGAAUAUCAGAGAGAAUCCCACAUACCCCUUUGCAAGAAAUGGCUAUCACCAGAAUAAAUCUUCCACCUCUCUUACGCGCCGCCAUCUCCCAUCGCGAUGCCACCGCACUCCACCCUCCCCACAUCCCCCACCACUACUCCCACAACUCUGCGACGUCCUUUCUCCGCUCUCACCCUCCCAACAUCCUUCUUUCCAACCCCCACUUGUUCUCCCCCUUCCUUUACCACCGCGUACGGCCACGCGCCGCCGCGUAUCCCAACCCUUUAAGCCUCAGCAUUUCAAAUCAACCCUUGGUCUCCCGGAGCCUGCACACACGCGCCACCGUUCUUCACAAGCGUCGAAGAACUGACAACAUCUUGCGUUACGCCUUAACUUUCAGUUGCAUUGCAACAGCAGGAGGGAUCAUCCUCUGGUACAAAAAUCUACAAAAACCAAGAAUUUUCACAACUUUAAAUCAUAAACUGGAGUUUAGGUUUAUGGGCAUAAUACCACAUAUGUACCGUAAGGGCCACUGCGUAGUCGUUGAGGGUCUGGCUCGACCUGGUGCUAAAAAUGUUAGACACAAUGGUCCUUGGAAAUUCUUUAUCUCAG